GUAAUAGCUCACUGGUCGAGUCGGCCUGCGCGGAAGAUGUAACGGGGCUAAACUAUGCACCGAAGCUGCGGCAGCGAACGUAUCACUUAAACUGAUUAAGUGAUAUUCAAUAGUAUCAGAACGAUUGACGGAGCAACGCGACGUCAAUGCGUCCAACAAAGUCGAGGCGGAAACGUCAGACAGUCAGUUUAAGGAUACGUUCGUUGGGUAGGGGAGCGUUCUGUAAGCCUGUGAAGGUGUACUGUGAGGUAUGCUGGAGGUAUCAGAAGUGCGAAUGCUGACAUAAGUAACGAUAAUGCGGGUGAAAAACCCGCACGCCGGAAGACCAAGGGUUCCUGUCCAACGUUAAUCGGGGCAGGGUGAGUCGACCCCUAAGGCGAGGCAGAAAUGCGUAGUCGAUGGGAAACGGGUUAAUAUUCCCGUACUGGUGAUAAUUGCGAUGGGGGGACGGAGAAGGCUAGGCUAUCCGGGCGACGGUUGUCCCGGUUUAAGGAUGUAGGCAGGUGAAUUAGGCAAAUCCGGUUCACUAUAUGCUGAGGUCCGACGACGAGUCACUACGGUGAUGAAGUAGCUCAUGCCCCGCUUCCAGGAAAAGCCUCUAAGCUCUAGAUUAUCAUUAAUC
This 622-nucleotide ribosomal RNA is filed under the name Providencia rettgeri. Its description in RNAcentral is "partial 23S ribosomal RNA". It matches the Rfam family "Bacterial large subunit ribosomal RNA", at positions 1134 to 1643 of the family's 2925-position model. Lineage: Bacteria; Pseudomonadati; Pseudomonadota; Gammaproteobacteria; Enterobacterales; Morganellaceae. The record is from RNAcentral.